UAGGCUUGGCGAUCGAUAUCACUCCAAAAUAGGAUUUUAGCUGGCCGAUCGAGGGGACUAUACGCACGCAGAUACAUUCGUCUCAGAUCAGGAAUUAAUUACACUACACAUUGACAGGAGAAUAAGAUCCCGUGAGAACAUCUUAAGGCCUCGUAUUUCUGAAAACGUAAUUCACGAUUUUUACAAGGCAUGAUAUUGUCCGUGAAGUUGCCAUAUACAUUGCAUCAAAGGAAGGGCGCGUCGAUUGCAAUAUUGGCACGGCCAAUUUGUUGUGGGAAAAUUCAAGUAGUAACUGUACUUGGAUUUCCUCGUUGUUAGCGAGAGAGUUCAAUCUCCUAGAGGGUUGGAAUUUCCAAAACUUCGUCUCGUUUUGUCAAUAGAAGUAGGAAAGAAAAAAAAUCGAGAUGGAUAAGAGUUUCUUUGAAGGGAUGAGCAGGUUAAAUGUGGUGUCAAUUAGUUGCUUUUCAUUGAGCUCACUACCACAAAGCAUACAGAUGCUGAAAUAUCUCCGGACAUUGGUUCUUUCUAAUUGCAAGUCUUUGAAGACCAUCUCUAUUGUUGGGGAAUUAUCAAAUCUCGAAAUUCUCGGUUGCCAAUUGUGUCCCUCUAUUGAGGAGUGGGGACUAGGAUGUCUGAAACAGCUAGAAUUUACAUCAUGUAGUAAGCUAAAGAGAAUAAAAUCGGGAGUGAUCUCAGGGCUCGUCGAAUUGGAGGAGUUGAACAUCGUGAAAAGCUUGACGAAUG
Non-coding RNA from Erythranthe guttata (spotted monkey flower), 744 nucleotides. Lineage: Eukaryota; Viridiplantae; Streptophyta; Magnoliopsida; Lamiales; Phrymaceae. The record is from RefSeq and is a predicted model, not a curated record.